RNAcentral lists this long non-coding RNA (243 nucleotides) under Vigna radiata. Its description in RNAcentral is "long non-coding RNA (VRAD_LNC011321)". Lineage: Eukaryota; Viridiplantae; Streptophyta; Magnoliopsida; Fabales; Fabaceae. The record is from RNAcentral.
AUUAAAAUAUGUUGAGGUGUAAUAUUUAACGAAACACAUGUCAUUGUUGAAUAAUUUAAGUGAUUAACGUGUUAUUUCAUCCUUUUUAGUCAUGCAUUGUUUAUCCUAACAUUUAAAUUAAGUAAAACAUUGUUCAUCUUCUUCAAAAAUUGAUCAGUCGAGAUAUGUAUCGUUCUUCUUCGUACUGCAGUUAUAAUUGUCAGAACAGGCAAGCUACUAUGCUCUUGCCACCACCCAGAAACU